AUGGAUAGCAGAAAGGCCUCACAGGAUCUGCACACCAAAGCAAGAAGGAACACAAUGCGGACACUUCACGGCCCAAUUUGUGAAACACUAGAAUGGAAAGAACUGGUCAAGGACAGAGAGGAUUUUCAUCACAGCAAGAUGGAUGCCGAAUGGAAACCAGAGUACGUAUACACACUCAUAUUCGGUAAAACCAACCAAAUAAAGCACCGUCAACUUCCUGAAAAAAUCAAAGUUUUCAAACCAGAGACUACAAACCUUUUUUCGCCCAUGAAAGAGCGAGAUGAAAAAAACAGGAUCAAUCAAGGAGCACCAACAAAUACCCGCAACACCGGCAUUCGUUCAAACAUGUGCGUAAGGCAAACGAGAUCUACGACAUAG
Molecule: ribosomal RNA, 378 nt
Filed under: Triticum aestivum (bread wheat)
Lineage: Eukaryota; Viridiplantae; Streptophyta; Magnoliopsida; Poales; Poaceae
Description: partial small subunit ribosomal RNA
Source: RNAcentral